GGUGAAAAGCACCCCGGAAGGGGAGUGAAAUAGAACCUGAAACCGUGUGCUUACAAGUAGUCAGAGCCCGUUAAUGGGUGAUGGCGUGCCUUUUGUAGAAUGAACCGGCGAGUUACGAUUUGAUGCAAGGUUAAGCAGUAAAUGUGGAGCCGUAGCGAAAGCGAGUCUGAAUAGGGCGUUUAGUAUUUGGUCGUAGACCCGAAACCAGGUGAUCUACCCUUGGUCAGGUUGAAGUUCAGGUAACACUGAAUGGAGGACCGAACCGACUUACGUUGAAAAGUGAGCGGAUGAACUGAGGGUAGCGGAGAAAUUCCAAUCGAACCUGGAGAUAGCUGGUUCUCUCCGAAAUAGCUUUAGGGCUAGCCUCAAGUGAUGAUUAUUGGAGGUAGAGCACUGUUUGGACGAGGGGCCCCUCUCGGGUUACCGAAUUCAGACAAACUCCGAAUGCCAAUUAAUUUAACUUGGGAGUCAGAACAUGGGUGAUAAGGUCCGUGUUCGAAAGGGAAACAGCCCAGACCACCAGCUAAGGUCCCAAAAUAUAUGUUAAGUGGAAAAGGAUGUGGCGUUGCCCAGACAACUAGGAUGUUGGCUUAGAAGCAGCCAUCAUUUAAAGAGUGCGUAAUAGCUCACUAGUCGAGUGACACUGCGCCGAAAAUGUACCGGGGCUAAACAUAUUACCGAAGCUGUGGAUUGUCCUUUGGACAAUGGUAGGAGAGCGUUCUAAGGGCGUUGAAGCAUGAUCGUAAGGACAUGUGGAGCGCUUAGAAGUGAGAAUGCCGGUGUGAGUAGCGAAAGACGGGUGAGAAUCCCGUCCACCGAUUGACUAAGGUUUCCAGAGGAAGGCUCGUCCGCUCUGGGUUAGUCGGGUCCUAAGCUGAGGCCGACAGGCGUAGGCGAUGGAUAACAGGUUGAUAUUCCUGUACCACCUAUAAUCGUUUUAAUCGAUGGGGGGACGCAGUAGGAUAGGCGAAGCGUGCGAUUGGAUUGCACGUCUAAGCAGUAAGGCUGAGUAUUAGGCAAAUCCGGUACUCAUUAAGGCUGAGCUGUGAUGGGGAGAAGACAUUGUGUCUUCGAGUCGUUGAUUUCACACUGCCGAGAAAAGCCUCUAGAUAGAAAAUAGGUGCCCGUACCGCAAACCGACACAGGUAGUCAAGAUGAGAAUUCUAAGGUGAGCGAGCGAACUCUCGUUAAGGAACUCGGCAAAAUGACCCCGUAACUUCGGGAGAAGGGGUGCUCUUUAGGGUUAACGCCCAGAAGAGCCGCAGUGAAUAGGCCCAAGCGACUGUUUAUCAAAAACACAGGUCUCUGCUAAACCGUAAGGUGAUGUAUAGGGGCUGACGCCUGCCCGGUGCUGGAAGGUUAAGAGGAGUGGUUAGCUUCUGCGAAGCUACGAAUCGAAGCCCCAGUAAACGGCGGCCGUAACUAUAACGGUCCUAAGGUAGCGAAAUUCCUUGUCGGGUAAGUUCCGACCCGCACGAAAGGCGUAACGAUUUGGGCACUGUCUCAACGAGAGACUCGGUGAAAUCAUAGUACCUGUGAAGAUGCAGGUUACCCGCGACAGGACGGAAAGACCCCGUGGAGCUUUACUGUAGCCUGAUAUUGAAAUUCGGCACAGCUUGUACAGGAUAGGUAGGAGCCUUUGAAACGUGAGCGCUAGCUUACGUGGAGGCGCUGGUGGGAUACUACCCUAGCUGUGUUGGCUUUCUAACCCGCACCACUUAUCGUGGUGGGAGACAGUGUCAGGCGGGCAGUUUGACUGGGGCGGUCGCCUCCUAAAAGGUAACGGAGGCGCUCAAAGGUUCCCUCAGAAUGGUUGGAAAUCAUUCAUAGAGUGUAAAGGCAUAAGGGAGCUUGACUGCGAGACCUACAAGUCGAGCAGGGUCGAAAGACGGACUUAGUGAUCCGGUGGUUCCGCAUGGAAGGGCCAUCGCUCAACGGAUAAAAGCUACCCCGGGGAUAACAGGCUUAUCUCCCCCAAGAGUUCACAUCGACGGGGAGGUUUGGCACCUCGAUGUCGGCUCAUCGCAUCCUGGGGCUGUAGUCGGUCCCAAGGGUUGGGCUGUUCGCCCAUUAAAGCGGUACGCGAGCUGGGUUCAGAACGUCGUGAGACAGUUCGGUCCCUAUCCGUCGUGGGCGUAGGAAAUUUGAGAGGAGCUGUCCUUAGUACGAGAGGACCGGGAUGGACAUACCUCUGGUGUACCAGUUGUCGUGCCAACGGCAUAGCUGGGUAGCUAUGUGUGGACGGGAUAAGUGCUGAAAG
This 2260-nucleotide ribosomal RNA is filed under the name Staphylococcus aureus. RNAcentral's name for it is "partial 23S ribosomal RNA". It matches the Rfam family "Bacterial large subunit ribosomal RNA", at positions 513 to 2777 of the family's 2925-position model. Lineage: Bacteria; Bacillati; Bacillota; Bacilli; Caryophanales; Staphylococcaceae. The record is from RNAcentral.